Cricetulus griseus (Chinese hamster) is the source of this 1080-nucleotide non-coding RNA. The record is from RefSeq and is a predicted model, not a curated record. NCBI's taxonomy places the organism in Eukaryota, Metazoa, Chordata, Mammalia, Rodentia, Cricetidae.
UCCUGCCCCAAAUGAUCACUUCUUAGCCAGUUCUUGACAUUCAGCUUCAGUGCUUCCAUCCCCUACCUUCCCUCCUACUCUACAAGGAAGGUCCAGACUUCAUUUAUCCUGAGUUCUGAAGCAAGCAAGAUGUAGGCACUCAUUACACAAGAGUAAUUGGACUGGGGGUGUAAGAGCACCAGAAGGCUUGCUUAGCAUGCAAGAAACCUUGAUUUCCAUCUACAACACCACAGACAACUGACUAGCUACAGCCCUUGUCUGGGUCUGCAGGACAAGGCUGACCUACACUGCAGGACGUUGGUGAGGUCAUUUGAACCUCCCUUGCUAGUUUUGCCUUAUAUGUGAUAAUUUGGGAGUGAGUGCUUGCCUUUAAUCCCUGGAGUCUGUCAAGUGUUGAGUUUUAAGGGGGUGGAUAAUAUAAACACCGAGGAUUAGGCGAGAACAGUUUGAGGAGGAGCUGAGAGAAGACUAGAGAAUGCCAACAUCUCUGCAGAUGACAGAGCCUUUGCUUGUCGAGCUGUCCCUAACCAGUCCCGGCACUGCUAGUCAGGCUUCAAGCUUUGGACUCUAACAAGCAGGAGACUGCCUUCAUGUCAAUGCCACCCUUGAUAGUGCAUCAAGACGUCAAUUGCAGUGACAUGAACAUCAGCCCUCAGAACGGACUGGGAACUUGAUGAACAGAGGGUUCGACUUCACAACUUGGAAAGGGCAUACACUUCAGUGUUUCAAGCAGUGAUGGUGAGAGUUGUGCUAAAUUACCCACUUCAAUUUUCUUUGAGACUGGCGCUCAAGAAUUUAAAAAUAGAGGCUCCAACGAUUGUUCCCUGGGUGAAGAUUUCCUCAAGAACAAACGGUUCACAGAAAAGAAAAAACAAAACAAAAACAAAAUUACUCUUGAGAAUCUGAAGUUAUAUUUGAUGCCUCUCCUAACAGGACAAGUGUGGCCUACAUUUUUGAUGGGAUACUGUGUUCCAUCAACCAGAAGUAAAACUUUUGUUAACACAUUAUGUUAGAGGGCCCAGCUCACUAUAGGCUGUGCCACCCCUGGGCUGGUGGCUUUGGGUGCUAUAAGAAAGCAGG